AGUGAACGCUGGCGGUAGACCUAACACAUGCAAGUCGAACGGCAGCACAGUAAGAGCUUGCUCUUACGGGUGGCGAGUGGCGGACGGGUGAGGAAUACAUCGGAAUCUACUUUUUCGUGGGGGAUAACGUAGGGAAACUUACGCUAAUACCGCAUACGACCUACGGGUGAAAGCAGGGGAUCUUCGGACCUUGCGCGAUUGAAUGAGCCGAUGUCGGAUUAGCUAGUUGGCGGGGUAAAGGCCCACCAAGGCGACGAUCCGUAGCUGGUCUGAGAGGAUGAUCAGCCACACUGGAACUGAGACACGGUCCAGACUCCUACGGGAGGCAGCAGUGGGGAAUAUUGGACAAUGGGCGCAAGCCUGAUCCAGCCAUACCGCGUGGGUGAAGAAGGCCUGCGGGUUGUAAAGCCCUUUUGUUGGGAAAGAAAAGCAGCAGGUUAAUACCCCGCUGUUCUGACGGGACCCAAAGAAUAAGCACCGGCUAACUUCGU
RNAcentral lists this ribosomal RNA (491 nucleotides) under uncultured bacterium. Its description in RNAcentral is "partial 16S ribosomal RNA". It matches the Rfam family "Bacterial small subunit ribosomal RNA", at positions 29 to 506 of the family's 1533-position model. The record is from RNAcentral.